UGCGGAGGAAAAGAAACCAACUGGGAUUACCUUAGUAACGGCGAGUGAAGCGGUAAAAGCUCAAAUUUGAAAUCUGGUACUUUCAGUGCCCGAGUUGUAAUUUGUAGAAUUUGUCUUUGAUUAGGUCCUUGUCUAUGUUCCUUGGAACAGGACGUCAUAGAGGGUGAGAAUCCCGUUUGGCGAGGAUACCUUUUCUCUGUAAGACUUUUUCGAAGAGUCGAGUUGUUUGGGAAUGCAGCUCAAAGUGGGUGGUAAAUUCCAUCUAAAGCUAAAUAUUGGCGAGAGACCGAUAGCGAACAAGUACAGUGAUGGAAAGAUGAAAAGAACUUUGAAAAGAGAGUGAAAAAGUACGUGAAAUUGUUGAAAGGGAAGGGCAUUUGAUCAGACAUGGUGUUUUUUGCAUGCACUCGCCUCUCGUGGGCUUGGGCCUCUCAAAAAUUUCACUGGGCCAACAUCAAUUCUGGCAGCAGGAUAAAUCAUUAAGAAUGUAGCUACUUCGGUAGUGUUAUAGCUUUUUGGAAUACUGUUAGCCGGGAUUGAGGACUGCGCUUCGGCAAGGAUGUUGGCAUAAUGGUUAAAUGCCGCCCGUCUG
This 592-nucleotide ribosomal RNA is filed under the name Hanseniaspora uvarum. RNAcentral's name for it is "eukaryotic LSU rRNA". It matches the Rfam family "Eukaryotic large subunit ribosomal RNA", at positions 49 to 655 of the family's 3401-position model. The record is from RNAcentral. Lineage: Eukaryota; Fungi; Ascomycota; Saccharomycetes; Saccharomycodales; Saccharomycodaceae.